ACAGAGAGAAGAGGAAGAAGA
RNAcentral lists this small RNA (21 nucleotides) under Arabidopsis thaliana (thale cress). RNAcentral's name for it is "ATSL074110". Lineage: Eukaryota; Viridiplantae; Streptophyta; Magnoliopsida; Brassicales; Brassicaceae. The record is from RNAcentral.